This is a non-coding RNA of Macaca mulatta (Rhesus monkey), 1410 nucleotides long. NCBI's taxonomy places the organism in Eukaryota, Metazoa, Chordata, Mammalia, Primates, Cercopithecidae. The record is from RefSeq and is a predicted model, not a curated record.
GGAGAUGGAGGCCAUUAUCCUUAGCAAACUAAUUCAGGAACAGAAAACCAAAUUUCACAUAUUCUGACUUAUAAGUGGAAGCUAAAUGUUCUGAAGGUCAGAAGUUUGAAAUCAGUUUUGCUGGACUAAAAUCAAGUUUUCCACAAGCUGAAGUUUCUGGAGUCUAAAGCGAGGAAUCUACAUCCUUGAGUUUUUCAGCCUCUAGAGAACAGGAGCAUUCCUUAGCUCAUUGCUCCUUCCUCCAUCUUUAAAACAAGCAGUGAAACGUCUUCUGUCUUCUCUUGUGUUUGGUCCCUUCUUCCCACCUUAAAUUCUCUCUUUCUGACUUUAAUAUUUCUCUUAUAAAGGCCCUUGUGAUUAUAUUUAACCCCAAAAUAUAAUCCUGGAUAAUCUUCCCAUCUCAAGACCCUUACCAUAAUCACACCUGCAAAGACCUUUUUUUAAAAAAAAAUGUAAGGUAAAAUAUUUACAGCUUCCAGGGAUCGGAGUAUGGAUAUUUUGGGGUGCCAUUAUUAAGCCUACCACAGGUCACAUAAUGUGAAGAUUAUUGGUGAUCUAGAAAAAAACUAGGAUGGGACUUGAUGAGACAAAGUGUCCAGUCUGAAGGCAGAUUAAGGAAGGAGAGAAUUGUAGCCAUUGGAUAUAGAAAAUACUGUUCAGGACAUUUGAUGAAAACCACGGAAGGAAUAAUUGAGUACUCAUUGGCAGAAGUGCCAUUAAUAACUUGUUUUCCUCUUUUAAUUUAAAAUGUGAAAAAUAACAUAUUUUGUUGAUGGGCAUAGGAUAAUAGCAAAAACACUGAUGUAAAAGUAAAAGAAAAUAGUUUCUGGAAAGAUUUCCUUGAUUGAGCAAAUGAGGAUUAAAGCAUGAAUAAGAACAUGAAAAGUAUAUUUACGGAAACAGGAAAGUAGAAUGUAAGAGACAGACGACAGCACAUGGAUAGAUAUGAGGUUGACAGUUGAAAAAAGCCUUUGCCCAGUUCCGUCAGUGAAGUAGGACCUGAGUGUUGUUGAAUUAUUAUAGUGGCAUGUAAAAUGUUUAAAACAGUUCCCAAACUUUUCAGCACCAGGAACUGAUUUCGUGGCAGACAAUUUUUCCAUUGACAGGGUCGGGGGGAUGGGUUGGGGAUGAAACUGUUUCAACUCAGAUCAUCAAGCAUUAGAUUCUCAUAAGGAGCUGUGCAACCUAGAUCCCUCCUGUAUGCAGCUCCUAAUAGGAUUUGUGCUCCCAUGAGAAUCUAAUGUCCUUGCUGAACUGACAGGAGGCGGAGUUCAGAUAGUAAUGUGAAAUCUGUUGGUGCAAUUUUGACUUCUGAAGAGGAUGUACAUUACUCAUGUGUGCAUACUCCCUUUAUCACUUAUGGUGGGAUGUACUAAUUAAUGCUACUAUAUUAAAUGAUCUGGGAAUCUA